RNAcentral lists this ribosomal RNA (253 nucleotides) under uncultured bacterium. Its description in RNAcentral is "partial 16S ribosomal RNA". It matches the Rfam family "Bacterial small subunit ribosomal RNA", at positions 524 to 776 of the family's 1533-position model. The record is from RNAcentral.
UACGUAGGGUGCAAGCGUUAAUCGGAAUUACUGGGCGUAAAGCGUGCGCAGGCGGUUGUGCAAGACAGAUGUGAAAUCCCCGGGCUCAACCUGGGAAUUGCAUUUGUGACUGCACGGCUGGAGUGUGUCAGAGGGGGGUAGAAUUCCACGUGUAGCAGUGAAAUGCGUAGAGAUGUGGAGGAAUACCGAUGGCGAAGGCAGCCCCCUGGGAUAACACUGACGCUCAUGCACGAAAGCGUGGGGAGCAAACAGG